This 1271-nucleotide ribosomal RNA is filed under the name Kaburagia rhusicola ovatirhusicola. RNAcentral describes it as "16S ribosomal RNA". The record is from RNAcentral. Lineage: Eukaryota; Metazoa; Arthropoda; Insecta; Hemiptera; Aphididae.
AUAGAAAUUAUUAAUUUUAUUUUAUUUAAAUUGAAAUAUUUUAUAAAAGUAAUUUAAUUAUUUAUUGUUUUAGUAUUUAGUAAAAAUAAAUUUAUAGAUUUAUAGUUUAAUAGUAUUGUAUAAGAAUUUUUUAAGUUUGGAAAAGAAUUGAAUUUUUAGUACCUUUUGUAUCAGGGUUGAUUAAAAUUUUUAAUUUAAUUUUAAAUUCUCAAAAUAUAUAGAGUUAAUUUUAUUAUUAAUUUAUUAUUUUAUAAAUAUUUAGAAAAUAAUUUUAGUUUUGAAAUUUAAUUCGUUAUAUAAUAUUUAGUUAUUUAAGAAUUAAAUUUAAUUUAUAAUUUUAAAAGUUUUAUUUAUAAUAUUAAAUAUAAAUUUAUUUUAAAUUUAAAUUAUUUUAGGGAUAAGCUUGAAAUUUUUAUAUAAUAAUAUAUUUAUUAAAUAAUUUUUAGGAAUAGAAAUUUUUAUUUAAGUUUGUAAAAAUUUAUUAUUUAAGUUUAUUUAAUUUAUUAUAAAUUAUUUAUUUUUAAUAUUAAAUUUUAUAAAUUAAUAAUUUAUUUAUAGUAAUAAUGAUUAAAUUAGUAUAAUUGAAUUAUUUAUAAAUUAUGAAUUCGGCAAAAAUUAUUUUCAUCUGUUUAACAAAAACAUAGUAUUAAGAUUUAUUUAAUAUAGAAUCUGCUCAAUGAUUUAAUUUAAAUAGCUGCAGUAUUUUGACUGUGCAAAGGUAGCAUAAUAAUUAGUCUUUUAAUUGGGGACUGGGAUGAAAGAUUUGAUGAAAAAUAAACUUUAUUAUUUAUAAAAUUAAAAUUUUAUUUUUAAGUAAAAAAGCUUAAAUGUUUUAAAGGGACGAUAAGACCCUAUAAAACUUUAUAAUUAUUAUUAUUAAAAUUUUUGGGUUAUAUAAAUUUUGAUAUUUUUAAUUAUUUUAUUGGGGUGAUAAAAAAAAUUAUUUAACUUUUUUUAAAAUUUUACAUUAAUUAAUGAUAUUUUGAAUUAAAAUUUUUAAUUAUAUGAAAAAGUUACUUUAGGGAUAACAGCGUAAUUAAUUUUUUAAGUUCAAAUUUAAAAAUUAGUUUGCGACCUCGAUGUUGAAUUAAGAUUAGUCUUAGGUGCAAAAUUUUAAGUUAUAGGUCUGUUCGACCUUUAAAUUCUUACAUGAUUUGAGUUCAAACCGGUGUAAGCCAGGUUGGUUUCUAUCUUUUAAAAUUAAAUUUAUUUUAGUACGAAAGGAUUAAAUAAUUAAAUGAUAUUUUUAUUAAUGAAUAAAAUUAAUUGAA